Molecule: ribosomal RNA, 513 nt
Filed under: uncultured bacterium
Lineage: Bacteria
Description: bacterial SSU rRNA
Rfam family: Bacterial small subunit ribosomal RNA
Source: RNAcentral
GAUGAACGCUAGCGGGAGGCUUAACACAUGCAAGUCGAGGGGCAGCAUAGGGUAGCAAUACUCUGAUGGCGACCGGCAAACGGGUGAGUAACGCGUAUGCAACCUACCCUGUACAGGGGGAUAACCCGGAGAAAUUCGGACUAAUAUCCCGUAAUAAUAUCCGGAGGCAUCUUUGGAUAUUUAAAGUUUCGACGGUACGGGAUGGGCAUGCGUAACAUUAGCUGGUUGGUAAGGUAACGGCUUACCAAGGCUAUGAUGUUUAGGGGUCCUGAGAGGGUGGUCCCCCACACUGGUACUGAGACACGGACCAGACUCCUACGGGAGGCAGCAGUGAGGAAUAUUGGUCAAUGGGCGCAAGCCUGAACCAGCCAUCCCGCGUGCAGGAAGACGGCCCUAUGGGUUGUAAACUUGCUUUUCCAGGGAGAGAAACUUACGCACGUGUUGCGUGACUGACGGUACCUGGGAAUAAGCAUCGGCUAACUCCGUGCCAGCAGCCGCGGUAAACCGAGAGUA